GCUCCUGUGGCGCAGAGGUUAGCGCUUCGUGCUUAUAGUUGUUCAAAUCUUGACAUUCUAUGUUAGAUUCGUGUGAGGAACGCGAUGGUCGCGGGUUCAAUCCCCGCCGGGAGCA
Transfer RNA from Pachysolen tannophilus NRRL Y-2460, 115 nucleotides. It matches the Rfam family "tRNA". From Rfam's summary of the family: Transfer RNA (tRNA) molecules are approximately 80 nucleotides in length. Their secondary structure includes four short double-helical elements and three loops (D, anti-codon, and T loops). Lineage: Eukaryota; Fungi; Ascomycota; Pichiomycetes; Alaninales; Pachysolenaceae. The record is from Rfam.